This 524-nucleotide ribosomal RNA is filed under the name uncultured bacterium. Its description in RNAcentral is "bacterial SSU rRNA". It matches the Rfam family "Bacterial small subunit ribosomal RNA", at positions 501 to 1027 of the family's 1533-position model. The record is from RNAcentral.
CUACGUGCCAGCAGCCGCGGUAAUACGUAGGGUGCGAGCGUUAAUCGGAAUUACUGGGCGUAAAGCGAGCGCAGACGGUUACUUAAGCAGGAUGUGAAAUCCCCGGGCUCAACCUGGGAACUGCGUUCUGAACUGGGUGACUAGAGUGUGUCAGAGGGAGGUAGAAUUCCACGUGUAGCAGUGAAAUGCGUAGAGAUGUGGAGGAAUACCGAUGGCGAAGGCAGCCUCCUGGGAUAACACUGACGUUCAUGCUCGAAAGCGUGGGUAGCAAACAGGAUUAGAUACCCUGGUAGUCCACGCUGUAAACGAUGUCGAUUUGGGGAUUGGGCUUUGAGCUUGGUGCCCGUAGCUAACGUGAUAAAUCGACCGCCUGGGGAGUACGGCCGCAAGGUUAAAACUCAAAUGAAUUGACGGGGGCCCGCACAAGCGGUGGAGCAUGUGGUUUAAUUCGAUGCAACGCGAAGAACCUUACCUACUCUUGACAUCCAUGGAAUCUUGUAGAGAUAUGAGAGUGCUUCGGGAAC